GAAAGACCCUACCUCAGAGUUAAUUGCUUACAUAUAUUCUGGUUUAUGAUAAAAAAAAAAAAACUUGUCAACAUAUUAAGAAGAAUUAACCAAUGUGAAGUUAAUUUCUUUAGAGCAAGAUUGUCUUCUAUUACUUAGUACAAAGAUGAGAAAGGUUUAACGGUGACGGAAUCGCAAGGCUAGUCCGUUUAGGCAUCGACAGUGUGGAAACUGCACGCCGGAAAAACAUCUCCGGGCAAUCAACUUCUGCCUCGCCGCCCACCGCUUUCUAUCCUUUGUUUUUUCCUGCUGUUUUUGCUCGUUUGUAAGCACGUUGGAAAAGCUUUGCUUGAUAAGCAUAAGAAAUGGAGGCAACCAAAGGAAACUAACAAGUGCGUGCGACUGAGUGUGUGUUUCCAACGAGCGACUGCACAUAACAAGCUUCUAUCCUAUCCCAUUUGUGCUGCUCCGCUCCUUGCUUUCUCAGCUGAUAGGACAAGCCGGAGGCGCCAUAACCGUAGCUUAAGUCUGUUGCACUGGUCUAGUCAAACUUAAGCCGGAAAUUCAGUAUACAAACUGUGCUGCAACUAUUUCCAGCAAACUUUUUGUUUUCCCUGUAACAAGAUUGAUAGAAUGGGUCGUGCGUGGGAUGGAGAGAAGCCGCCCAUUUAACCAGUUACACGUAGUCGCCUCAUAAGCUAGCACAACACAUUGCUGCAGCACUUAGUUCUGUAGCUUCUCUACUCACCGAAAGUUAAUUUCCGCUUUGGCGUCGCACCUGCAACGAAAAUGGAAUGAAUGAAACCCCUACAAGCGCAGGGCUUCCAUUUUGCGGAUCGCUGGGGAACGAGUUGCAUUUCAAGGUAAAAGUUUAAUUUUAGCGAGCUGUCGCAGUCAACGCAUUUUAAUUCAAUUGAAGUUGAUUAAAAAUUAAUUUGAAAUUAAAUGUGAACUCAAUGAAGUUGUAGUUAAAAAUAGUGCAGCCAAACGAGGGAGAAGAAGGAAAAAAAUGGCAUUUGACAGGCUGUGACAUUAAAGGGUCGGAAGAACAAAAAAGUAUUGAUUGGAUGGAAAAUUGCGAAACUUAAACAGGGCACACAAGUGAGUGUGUGUGGGUGGAUUACCAGCACGUAGGCAGGUGAAGCGGGAACGGAAGUUGUUGCAAAGUCCGUUGAAAUCAAUUUGUAAAGUAAACUUGUUAGGUGAAAAGCCGAAACAAGAGAAUGCCAUCGGAAACCAAGUGGGCUAAGUAAGGAGCAGAACAAGAAAGGGAAAACUAAUUGCAGCGCUCAUUUUUUGCUUGUUAAUGGGCCUGCAAACGAGCUUCGAGUUUCCCUCCUUCUAUCGAUCCUUGAAACCCACACAUGCUCACAUCCCCGUGCCCACACACAUUUGUUCUGCUUGUGGCAUCGCAAAAGUUUUUCCCCCAAUUUUAUUUGCCUCAUUUCGCUGCCAUUGUUGCUGCUCGUUCAAAAUCUGCGUGCGCAAGUAACAACAUUUUACAGCUGCAAUUAAAGUUAGUUAGCACUCUCAUCCCCCUUCGUUCGCUUUUCCAGCAGUUCCCGCAUUUUCCGCUGCACUUUCCACAACAAGCUAAUGCACUGCACUUUAAUUAACCCAACACCAAGAGAACAAACCUGAAAUUAUACACCCUUUCGCUUUCUGCCCGGCUAAUGGCAAUUUAUGUGCGAUAAUUUGUGGUAUGAAAACCAUAAAAACAAGUGCGAGGAGUCCAAUAACAAUCAACUAAAUAACGAAACACUCUAAAAUGACCAACCUGUGUUUCUAUUCUAUAUUUCAUGAAAUUU
This is a long non-coding RNA of Drosophila gunungcola (fruit fly), 1787 nucleotides long. RefSeq lists it as uncharacterized. Lineage: Eukaryota; Metazoa; Arthropoda; Insecta; Diptera; Drosophilidae. The record is from RefSeq and is a predicted model, not a curated record. The transcript is spliced from 3 exons.